CAGAUCCGGUUGAUCCUGCCGGACCCGACUGCUAUCGGGGUGGGACUAAGCCAUGCAAGUCUAGGGUACCUAGAGGUUUCCUCUAGGUACCCUGGCGCACGGCUCAGUAAUACCCGGUCAACCUGCCCUCGGGCGGGGGAUAACCCCGGGAAACUGGGGCUAAUCCCCCAUAUGCGAGGGUGUCUGGAACGACCCCUCGCAGAAAGCCCUUCUGGGCGCCCGAGGAUGGGACCGGGGCCCAUCAGGUAGAUGAGGGGAUAAAAACCCCUCAUGCCGAUAACGGGUACGGGCCGUGGAAGCGGGAGCCCGGAGAUGGGCCCUGAGACAAGGGCCCAGGCCCUACGGGGCGCAGCAGGCGCGAAACCUCCGCAAUGCGCGCAAGCGCGACGGGGCCACCCCGAGUGCCUCCCGCUGAGGGAGGCUUUUGCCCAGUGUAAAAAGUGGGCGAAUAAGGGGAGGGCAAGGCUGGUGCCAGCCGCCGCGGUAAAACCAGCUCCCCGAGUGGUCGGGACGAUUAUUGGGCUUAAAGCGCCCGUAGCCGGCCUCGCAAGCCCCAGGUUAAAUCCAGCCGCUUAACGGUACGAAUUCCGGGUAGACUGCCAGACUUGAGACCGGGAGAGGCUAGAGGUACUCCUGGGGUAGAGGUGAAAUUCUGUAAUCCUGGGGGGACCACCAGUGGC
RNAcentral lists this ribosomal RNA (680 nucleotides) under archaeon. RNAcentral's name for it is "bacterial SSU rRNA". It matches the Rfam family "Archaeal small subunit ribosomal RNA", at positions 1 to 667 of the family's 1478-position model. The record is from RNAcentral.